RNAcentral lists this long non-coding RNA (22336 nucleotides) under Triticum aestivum (bread wheat). RNAcentral describes it as "long non-coding RNA (TAES_LNC017158)". The record is from RNAcentral. Lineage: Eukaryota; Viridiplantae; Streptophyta; Magnoliopsida; Poales; Poaceae.
GAUGACAAGAUGGUGAGCCGCACUUGCUUUCCCCUCUCCUACAAGUGAUUUGAAGUUAACCGGUGCCUAAUGAUUUGAAGUUACUGGCAAUCUUUAAUUUAGUCAUGUGAAUUGUACUAGUGCUUACUGAAUUACCUGAUGUGUAUGUGCAUGAACUACGUGGUGUGUAUAUGUCCUUGGAUUUUCUAAUCGCUGUGGUCUAUCUGGCAUAUGGACAAGAACGACAUGGCGAGCCGCGCUCGCGCCCCCACACGGCGUGCAAGCGCUGUAUCCGACAACAAGAUGGUGAGCCGCGCUCGCUGCUCCCACUCUGCUACUAGUGAUUUGAAGUUAACCAGUGCCUAAUGACCUGGAGUUAUUGAUAAUCUUUAAUCUAGUCAUUUGAAUUACUAGUACUAGUGCUUAAUUUACUACCUGAUGUGUAUGUUCAAGAAUUACGUGAUGGGUAUAUGUCCUUGGACUUUCUAAUCGCUACGGUCUCAUCUGGCAGAUCGACAGGGACGAGAUGGCGCCGGACCAGGGGGUGCCACGCAUGCGGGGGAGCAUCGCGUCGUCAAGUGCGGUUGGUAAGUAUACUUUAUGCUGCUUUUUUUGUCAGCAUCGUCUCCAUGCAGGCUACACUGGCAAACAAGCAGCUUAGCUCUUGUGCAUGCUGUUUUUUUGUCAUCACUAGGGGCGUGUUUUGUUGCCGUGUGCUAUAGUACCUGCGUUGCAUACCAGUGGCGGAGCUAGCAUUUGACAUCAGGGUGGUCCGACCCCCGAAAAAAAAUUAACAAGAAAUAUGACAUCUGGGCAUUCUAAAUACUUACCAAUAUGACACAAGUUCUCCAGCUUGCUCUUCGGCCACAUCUCACAUAUUCAUUGCCUUCUUCUUCUUCCCUAUCUUCAUAGCUUCUCUUUGAAAAGAGAAACAAUGUCUCCGGUCCUCUUCAUUCUUCAAAAAUUCUGCAAUAAAAUUUAGUUUCUAUCAAUAAAGCUAAUUGAGGCAGAAAUGAUAUGCAAAAUUAUGUAUGUGUUCAUCAAUUCAUGAUAGUGUAGUGCAAAAAAGCAAACCCUAAGUCAAAAAAUAUGGGGUUUCAGUACCUUAAAUUUGAUUUGCACAUUUGCUGCGAAUCUGUGAUGCUACCGCUGGACGGCUGGAGACUUGCUGGUGAGCGGCACCUUCAACGGUCGUCGGCUUUGCAGGGAGGGCCGAGGGGGCGCAGGCAGUGGGCGGGCGGGCGGCAGGGCCAGGCGGCCACGGCUCCUGCUGGUCAAGGGGCGCGGGCGAGCGGUGGAGCNNNNNNNNNNGGCGUGAGGCGAGGGCUUCGGGGCAUCCUCUCCUCUGCCUCGAUGUGGAAUGAGCAAAGUUUCAAAUCGCGGGCGAAAUUGGCGCUAUUGCUGCUCUAUCGCGGCUGGAGAGGCUUCCUGCUAUGCUAUGUCAAAUUUUCCGCAAUUUGCCGCUACCGCCGCGAUCGCCGCGUGAAACAGCAAUAAGUGGCUUAGCUGUCGCUGCAGUUUCGCUGGAAUGGCUGAGAUCGAUUUUAACAGGCUGAAACAGAGGGCCAGAACAAAUCGUAGCCCAAAUUUCCUCUGAUAGAGCAGCCUGUCCAGAAACCUUAUCUUCAUUAAAUCCUCUCGCUCCCAUCUAAAAAACUUGCGGCGGCUGCGGCUAGGCGGGCCGGCGGCUGCUUCGCAGCAAGCCGGAGUCAGCGACGAGCGAGGCGGCGACCAGGACUCCGACAGGAGGCUGCAUACUCCGUAGCUCUAGUACUCUGUCUGUUUGCUGUUAUUGAUCCAUCCUAGUCCGUUUGCUGAUUCAGUACGGAUGUUGUCUUUUUAUUUGCGGGGAGGAUAUUGACUUAUUUAUGACUGAAUUUAUACUGCCAAUCCUCUGUUUUCUGCUGAAAAUCCUCUGUUUUUUAGACAAAAAACAUGCAUAUGUACUUUUGCCGCUAAAUACCUUAGCGGCCGCUAUCGCCCGCUAUAGCGGCCCUAGCGUUUUGAUGAGCCAGCCGCGAAAUGCUUUUGCCCGUGAUCUUAAAGUUUGGGAACGAGGGGUCGUGGCCUCGUGGGCUAUGGCUGAACGACAGAACAAGGGCUGGCAGUGUAUAUUGGGCCAUCUGUUUUUUUGGCCCAGUUAAAUACCCAUGGUAGGCUGCUCCAAAAUCCCAGGGUGGGCCGCGGCCCACCCUGGCCACCCUGUAGCUCCGUCCAUGUUGUAUACCCUUCUCCACUCAGUCUGGCUCUGAAAAAACAGCCUCAUAUGCAACAUCUGCGAGUUGUUUGGUUGCCUGCAUGUCCUCUUACCUGCAUGGGCUGAACCACACUGCCUGAUGUUUGAUUGCCUGCAUGUUAGUGGACAAACCCAAGGCAUGGUGUUUGGUUGUAUGCAACGCCUGGUGCGUGGUAACCUCUUUGGCUAGUUGGUGAGGUUACUAGCACACUUCGGCACAACCAUGUAUAGCACACAUCAUAAGCAGAGCAGACUAUAAACAGAGCAUCAACUACUUAACAGCAUAAUUCAGAUAAGCAGUACCACACUUCAUAACAGUUCAACGCCUAAACCCUAAACAGUUCAAAGCAGACUCCUUGCCGGCGAAGGCUUCAUCGUGCUUCCCGCACUUGCUGACGACCACAAUGCGAUCCUCGUUGAAGAUGGUGACCUUGAGGGUGUAGGGAGUGAGGAGCUUGAACGUCACCAUGUAGUCGAUCUUGAUCUGAUGAACGUUCACCAGCUUCACCGUCACCUUCAAGGACCAGCCGGUGUUUUUCCUGAGCUUAAACUCUGUCGGCACCGCAACGAAGUGCGUGGUGAAGUCCAGGGGCAUUGGGAUGCACUCAAGCUUCGGUGCAAGGAUGACGUUGCAGAAGUGAGUCGGGCCAUCCUCCUGAUGGUAGUGGUCGUAGUUGCGGUGCUUGUUGCUGGGGGGCACCUCCAUGCCCUCGUCGUCGCCACCCUCAAGCGUCUUUGGGUCUUCCUCGGCGGUGUGCGGCAGCACAACCUCGUCGGGCAUUGGGUGAAGGGGCUGCUUGCCCCUGUUCUCAACAGCCGGGAGCACCUCAUUGCUCUCCUCGAUCUGCACACAAUUCAUGGAUUCAGGCACAACACAGAGUUCAUGGCUUAUUGAAGAGCAUGCAGUUAAAACGGCAUGACUGUCACUCUUCUCCUCCUCUCCAUCGCCCCUAUAUUUACUCACCCUGCCCAACACUACUUACCCACCCCCUCUCUUCUCUCACUGUCAACCUUCCUCCUCCCCAUCGCCAUGAGCUCUAGCUCCAGCUCGGAUGCCAACCCCUUCCCUUGGGGUAUUGGCGGGACAGCCUUCUUCCUAGGGUGGUCGGUUGGUGACCGCACCAAGUUCGAGAACACCAUGGAGGUGUGCUCGAACUUUGGCUCCAUGCCUGACAUGCAGAAGGAAUCUAAUGCAGUGCUCAUGAAGGCCACUGCAGAAGAGCUGAAGACGCCGAUUCCUGACCCAGCGAAGGGCGCGAUGGCAGUUGACAUCAUUCGCGGGGCCAUGAAUUUGGCCGUCUCCGACGACGCUAAACAGAGAAAGAAGUGGUGCAGGUACAAGAACUAUUGGGCCCCUAAUGACCGCCAUGCCGCAGUGUACUGGGAGACGGCUAUCGCGCCUCCGGCGGUCAUCGGUGGGGAGCCUAAGAAGGAGGACAAGGAGGAAGAACCGGUGCAGAUGCCGGCAAGGGUGCAGAUGCCGGCAACAUACAACCAUGAUUCUCAGAAAUAGACCAUCAUGGAGCCGACAAUGGUGGCCAUGAUAGGCUAGUGAAAAGCACACUGGUGAUCAACCUUACAACACUAAACAAAAUAUUGCAACAUGAGGUAACCCCAACUUUGUAGCACUGGUCCACCAUUUUCAACCACCUUGUAGCAAUGAACAGUUCACUGACCAAUAGCAUUGCUGCAUCAAGUGACCGGCUUCCAGCACUGAACACCCGCGCUUGCAGCACCACGAUGAUCGAUGGUCGGCCUUUCUACAUUAUUAGUUAACAUUGCACACCUCGUCUCCAUUUUUAUGUACAUACACAUGAGUGAGCUUGGAACAUUAGUAACGUAUCAACAUUACCAAACAUGAAGAUGAUAAAUUUGUUUCUCCAAUCAUCGACAUUACUGAAUAAGCGAGCAACUGCACAUCCACCACACGAGCCAUAAUUUUUUAGCUCUGCGACAACAUCUUAUAGUUGCAAAAGAGCUGACGAUAAUGGUUUAGAAUGUAUGUGAUCAAAAUAGAUUCAAUGGAGGGGAGGGUGGACUACCUAUGUUGAAUCAGACUAGCUGCAAGGUCACAAGUGCCUUGUCUAAAUAGCCAAAAAGACAAAACGAGGCCCCCUGGAUUCUCCAUCCUGAAGCUAAGCAUAACUCCAACUCCACACACGCUCGGGGGCUACUAAAGGUGCAAUACGCUAGGGGUAUCUUCUGGGUGGGAAGCCUGGUAGCAGGCCUGCCUUAGGGCACAAGAGGCCAAGUGGAGGAUCAGUACAAUAGGGUAGCUCAGGAGCCCAGAUAAGGACCGUGAGAGCAUCUUGGCAGGCAAGCUAAGAUGGUAGUGGUAUGAGAUCUGAUGGAUUCCUUUUAAACCUAGCCCUUGCCACCUAUAUAAGGAGGGGCUCGGGGUUGUCAUUCACAUAUACUCUCAUAGACUGUACUCUCUGUAGCAUUAUACUUCAUCACCACUCUAAACCCCUCGCAUAAGGUGCUCCACCAAGAAUAAAAAUCAGAUACAUGAUGUUGGGCAUUACCUCUCACCGAGGGCCCGAACCUGGGUAAAAACCUUUGUGUGAACUCCUUUGUCGUGUAUCCGUACAAGUUCACCACCCUACUAUGGGUAUUCACGGUUUUACAUAUUGUCACAUAGUUAAGUUCUGACACAUUUUCUCUGGGGGGUUGAAGCAACUCAUGGUGUAAAUAGGUGUUUCUUGAAGCACUGAUUCUACUAGCACCUCCUUUCCCGGCUUCGAGAUAUCUUGUCCUUCCUAUCCAACCACUUUGCCAUUUGAGCUUUCUUUAAGAUGUUUAAAAUUUCCUUCAUUUGACCUGCCCACCAUGGUUGGGAGCCAAAAUAAUGCUCGCUCAAUGCCUUAGGAUCUGUGCAAAGAUAUUUACAACAACUUUGUCCUCCUAUUUGCCUCAGUUCCCAAAGAAUGUUGAGGCUUUUUGAAAAUUGCCCAUUUUUUCCGAGGCCCACUCAUAGUCAAAGAGGAUAUAUUUAAGGUUAAAAGUUGUCAUUUGACGGUUGAAGAAAUACUAUACUAUCAUCUGCAGAAAUAAGAUGGGCUACAUGGGGGUUAGUGCUCCCAAAAGAUAUACCAUUGAUCUCUUUAUCUUUCAGCAUUCAUGAGAAAGGUCGAAAAACUCGCAAGAUAGAAAAUAAAAAAAUAGGGAGACCAUGGGUCUCCUUGCCAGAGCCCUCUUCAUAGUGUACAAAAUACAUAACACACUCCAUUCAAUUUGAUAGAAAACCUGGCAGGGGUACCACACAUCAUAAUCAUCAAGAUCAACCUAUCUGAGAAACCAAGUGCCCUCAUCACCGGGUCGAGGAAAAUCCAAACCACCCUCUUAUAUGCCUUCAUCAUGUAUAGUUUAACUGCGAACAUUGGAUUUUUCUAUUUGUUGAAUGAACAUACUUUGCUCCUGCGUGAACAUUAUGGAUAGGACAACCAUCAAUCUCUUUGCUAGGCCUUUGAAGCAAUCUGACUGAGUGUGUUCAAUAAGUUGAUUGAUGCCAUUUGAGGAAGUAUCUCCAUUGAGGUAAUUUUGGGGAUCAGGACUAGAACCAUAUCACUAAAGUUUGUUGAAAUAACUCCAUUAAAAGAAUCACCUAUUACUAUGUGUACAUCAUAUUUUUAGAAGUAACUCGUGAAAUUAGUAAACAUAAGUGAGAGGUUGUCUAGCCCCUGCGCUCUUGCCAGUCAAAUUUAGAAUAGUGCAUUCUCAAUUUAUACAUCCAUCACGUCCGUGUUCACCCUCUCCUCCAUAUCACUAGUCACAGAGGGUCGGAUGUGAGCUAAGAUGUUGUCAGUAUCAGCAGAGGCUUCUGAACAGAACAACUAAGCAUAGAAAUCGGCCGAAAUCUUUCCCAUCUCAUUGUCAAUAGUACAACUCAUGCCAUCCGCCCUCAUGUUUUGAUCGUCUUCCUUGAGAAAUUCCAGUCGGGAACAUUGCAUACACAUUAUUUGUUCAUGUGCAUGAACCACAUGAAGCUACCCUUCAAUCUUGCUGGUCUUCAUCGAGGAUGUCUGGAUCCCAAUGCUCUACCCUUUCCAUCGAAGUUGGACCUUGUGCCUAGUAAUCUCACAACAUACAAGACAAAAUACAGAGCCAUUUCAAUGUAUCAUAUCAUUGGUGAAAUUGUUACGCUUCCUGUAGAGCUCACUCUGGCCGGAAUUGUUAUCACAUGCAUACUAUCAUGCCUCCAUGUGCAUCCACCUCUCCUCAAACGUUAAUGCCCUCUUCUUACUUUUGGUAAUGACUAGGUUUUCUAGCACUCUACUAACGAGUGAACCAUGGUCUGGUCCUCCAUGACAACAUGUUCAAUGGGUGUAUCCUACAAUGAAUGAACAAAUUCAUCAUUGCAUGGACCCGUGUCCACAUGUAUGUAAAUGAUCUCAUCCCACUCCCUCUUAUUGUCCCAAGUGAACACGUUGCUACUAAAACAAAGGUUUGAAAUGCUAUUAUUGUCUACACUCUCCCUAAUGCGCUCCAUUUGUGUGAAACUUCUAAAGUAAUCUCCUAGUUGUUGGGAUUAAAAGAAUUCUUUGUUGAGGUAUCAUUGUAACAGAUAAAUGUAUUAUUAGGAUCUAGUCUCUCAGAGCCUCCCUUAGCUAUACAAAUUUUCUUCAAUCUCUCUUCCUAUCCAGUAGCUUUAGGUGAUAAUCCUUGUGAUGCCUUUCGUGGUCACCAUCACCUUGGCUCGUCAUAUGAAUAAAAGUGCCUGGUCUGUGUAGCUUAGAGGUAGAUGGGUCAUAUUUCCCAAUGGCCUUGACCCUUUCCCUUAUAGAUUUUUUUAUGUCUUGCUCCCUUUCAUGCUCCUCUCUCAGGUCCCACUUCCUUUUUAGAUUGAAAUCAUCCCUUAGUUCACAAUCAUGUCACAGAUCUUGCCUACAUGGGUCCUCCCUGCACUUCAUGUUAGACAAUUACCCUCUACAAGACCAUCUCGAGGAUCCUCACCAGAGAGAGAGUCCAUAGAGGGUGUAUAAUCAUUGUAUGACCUGCACCUAAAUGGACGGACAUGCAACGCUACAUGACCCCUGCACCCAUAGACGCCCUUGCUUGACCUAGUGAUCCCAAAACUAAAUUUCAUGUUUUUUGUCACCGGCCUCUACUUUGUUUUUGUCUGUGAGGAGCCAUGUCCAAGUGAUGCCCUGUAACGCCCAAUAUGCGAUACUAUCCUAAAGAGACUCGAAGGUCCCACCAAGGAUAGAAUCGCAGAUUGAAACGCUUUUGCAAGGUGGAUAUCAUUACCUCAACAUUACAUAAUAGAUGGGGAUACAAACAAAAGGCAUACAAUGCCACACGAAUACAACAUCAUCUUACAUAAGAACACCAUCCGACUACGGAUGAAACACAAACAGAAACUCAAACGACAUCCACCCUGCUAGCCCAGGCUGCCGACCUGGAACCUAUCCCCUGAUCGAAGAAGAAGCAGAAGAAGAACUCCAAAACCAUCAAACAUCGCUCUCGCAUCAUGACCAUCACAAAACCUGUACCUGCAACUGUUGUUGUAGUAAUCUGUGAGCCACGAGGACUCAGCAAUCCCAUUACCAUGGGUAUCAAGACUAGCAAAGCUUAAAGGGAAAGGAAGGGGUAAAGUGGUGACUGGUGAGGUUGCAGCAGCGACUAAGCAUAUAUGAUGGCUAACAUACGCAAAUAAGAGCGAGAAGAGAAGCAACGGAAUGGUCGUGAAGCUAGCAAUGAUCAAGAAGUGAUCCUGAACUCCUACUUACGUCAAACAUGACCCAAAACCGUGUUCACUUCCCGGACUCCGCCGAAAAGAGACCAUCACGGCUACACACACGGUUGAUGCGUUUUAAUUCGGAUCUGGUGUCAAGUUAUCUACAACCGAACAUUAACAAAUUCCCAUGUGCCACAUAACCGCGGGCACGACUUUCGAAAGUUUAUACCCUGCAGGGGUGUCCCAACUUAGCCCAUCACAAGCUCCCAUGGUCAACGAAGGAUAUACCUUCUCCCAGGAAGACCCGAUCAGACUCGGAAUCGCGGUUUACAAGACAUUUCGACAAUGGUAAAACAAAACCAGCAAAACCUCUCGAUGUGUCGAUAAAUCCAGAUAGGAGCUGCAAAUAUCUCGUUCUCAGGGCACACCGGAUGAGCCAGACGUCGGGUUGGCAUAGACCCUGGUUGCCCAGGGGGUGCCGGACAUCGCUCGGUUUAGACCAGCACUUGGAGAAGCACUGGCCCGGGGGGGGGCUAAAAUAAAGAUGACCCUCGGGCUCCGGAAACCCAAGGGAAAAAGGGCUAGGUGAGGCAAAUGGUAAAACCAAGGUUGGGCCUUGCUGGAGGAGUUUUAUUCAAAGCGAACUGUCAAGGGGGUCCCAUAAAUCACCCAACCGCGUAAGGAACGCAAAAUCCGGGAACAUAACACCGGAAUGACGGAAACUAGGGCGGCAAGAGUGGAACAAAACACCAGGCAUAAGGCCGAGUUUUCCACCCUUUACCAAGUAUAUAGAUGCAUUAAUUAAAAUAAGAGAUAUUGUGAUAUCCCAACAUUAUCAUGUCCACCAUGGAGCAAUCUUCAACUUCACCUGCAACUAGCAACGCUAUAAGAGGGGUUGAGCAAAGCGGUAACAUAGCCAAGCAACGGUUUGCUAGGAAGGGUGGAAAUGUUAGAGGCUGACAUGGCAAUUUGGGAGGCUUGAAGAGCAAUUGGUAGGUAGCGCUGCAAAGCGAUAAAACGAAGCAACUAGCAUAGCAAUGAUAGUAGUGAGAUCCAGGGUAGCGGUCAUCUUGCCCGAAAUCCCGCAAGGAAGAAGAACGAUUCCAUGAAGAAGGUGAAGCCACGAAGACGAACCAAGCGUAGACGAACGAAUCCUCAUGAUCGCAAUGAAACGGGAACUAUCGAGAAGAAGCACACAACAUAGUAAACACACGACACAUGAACAAGGCAUGAUGCUCAACCAAGUAUGAUGCAUGACAGGGCUACAUGAAGCUACUCAUGGCAAGAGAUGAUGCAAACACGAGCAACACAUCAAGGCAAGUUUAAAUGAGGCCGGGAACAACAUAUAACAAUUCCGGUAAGUCCUCAUAUGCAAAUUUCGAAAUAGGUCCAGAUCUGAAUAAACCUUAUGUUCAAGUUGUUAAAUAGCAAGAUAAGAUACACCAAGAUGAUCUACACAAGAUUCUAGUCAAGUUACGUAUAAAGUUCAUUUAGUUCGGAGCUACGGCCUAGAAGAUAUGAGCAAAAAAAGUUAAACAUGGCAUUGAUGCAAAAUGCAUACAAACAUCUAGCAAACACAUCUAAACAAGGAUGCAACAUGUUAAUAUGAAACUACAUCCAAUUCUAAGCAAGUUUCAUAUAGAGCACACUCAAAACGGAGCAACGGUGCAACACAUACACUCCAAACAAGACAUAACAACAAUCUGCCCAAAACAGCAACUAGGCAUCUAGCAAGCAUCAAAACAAUAUGCUACAACACCCCAACGUAAGAACAAAAGGUAUGGGCAUGAUGUACAUGUAAAUCAUGACAAAACAUGAACACUGACCUAUCUCCAGAAAACACUAGAACAUGCUCAAAAAGGCAUGGCAACAUUGCAAGUAAUAACAGUUUACAGGCUUAGCAGAAAUAACAUCAGGUUGCAAUGUUUAGAGCUAUCAAACAACAUGUUACAUGAACAUAUCAUAGAAACUUAAGGCAUGACAUGAUUCUAAUGAAUGCAUAGAACAAAAGUACUUUACUGACCAUGAGCCAAAAGGGCACAGAAAAUAUGAUGGCAGCCAUGUAAACAUGGCAAGUUAUAUGACAGAUUCAAACAUGGCAGGAACAACUAUAAGUAGGCAUGUUGGUGAGCUUGUACCACUUACCACAGAGCAUUACAUGGCAUGAUAAGGCAACCAACAGUAAUAAUACAUGUUUAUGAAGCUAAGCAUGGCAAGAGCAAGUUCAUAGGGUGCAUGAAUCACUCACAAAACACAUGGCAAAAGUGCACUUAAUGUUAACAGGCUGACAGCAACAUUAUUUAGCAAUUUGAGAGCAAGAUUACAACAAGCUACAGCAGGCUAUAAAUGCAACCAGCGGCACGGGUGGAUAUAGCAUGACAUGUAGAACAAAACAUCCUUAGUGAGCAUCUCCAGAUUAUGCAUAGAAUGACUUGUAGCAGCAGGUUUACAUAGCAUCACGAAAUAACAGAUUCAGCCUAGCAAAAUAGCAACAGCAAGUAUUCUACUUCACGAGCUCGAUGCACUCACUAAAAGACUCACAAAAAUACAUGGAUUGCACCUCUGUAAAGAUGGAAUGAUGUAGAUCAAAAUACAUGUAGAGCUCAUGCUCAUAGGAUGCACACAUCAACUGCAACAAAAAUGACAAAUCGCCAAGUUAUAACAGUUUCAGCAGAUUAACAUCAUAUAGCACUCUUGCAACGAUGAUUCAGGUAUCAAGAUGAACUCAAAUGAACAUCGCACAAUGUAAUGAAAUGAAGAGAAUCUCCUGAUGAACAUUUUGAUAUAUUAUACACGCAAAACGGAGCAGUAUACAACAAGUUAUGGCAUAUCAAAGUAUGCACCAAAACGCAAACUAAUUCGGGACUUAGAGAAAAUCUGGGGUCAACCUUAGGUCUGCACGGAUUUCAAGGCGAGGCGGAUGUCGUCGGAGAGCUCACCGGAGAAGAGGAGGGAGAUGGGGCCGGCGAGGUCUUGCAGGGGCGGGACGAGGCGGAUCCGACCGGAUCUCGCCGGAUCCGGCCGAGCUCCGGCGAAGGCGACGCGGGGCCGGGCACGGGCGGCGGCCGGGGCGGCGCCGGCNNNNNNNNNNNNNNNNNNNNNNNNNNNNNNNNNNNNNNNNNNNNNNNNNNNNNNNNNNNNNNNNNNNNNNNNNNNNNNNNNNNNNNNNNNNNNNNNNNNNNNNNNNNNNNNNNNNNNNNNNNNNNNNNNNNNNNNNNNNNNNNNNNNNNNNNNNNNNNNNNNNNNNNNNNNNNNNNNNNNNNNNNNNNNNNNNNNNNNNNNNNNNNNNNNNNNNNNNNNNNNNNNNNNNNNNNNNNNNNNNNNNNNNNNNNNNNNNNNNNNNNNNNNNNNNNNNNNNNNUGGGCUCCGCGGGCCGCACGGUGGCGGGAGGCGGCGGCGACAGGUGUCCGGCCCUGAUUGGCGCAGGGAGGGUGCGCUGCUGAGGUGGCGCGCUCCUAUUGGCCGGAGCGACGUGGAGGCGGCGGUGGACGUGUCCGGCCGCCGGGCGGACAUGUCCGGCGGCGCGAGGAGGGAGAGGGCUAGGGUUCAUUUGCGCGAAAAAAUCGAAGGGGAUCACAUAUUUAUAGGUAGAGGGAGCUAAGAGACUCCAAAUGAGGUGCGGUUUUCGGCCACGCGAUCGUGAUCGAACGGCGGAGAGCAUGGAGGGGGUUAGGAUGGGUUUGGGGCCAGUUUGGAGGGGUUGUUGGGCAGCAACACAAAGAGGGCUUUACGGUUCCCAGUUAACCGUUGGAGUAUCAAACGGACUCCAAAUGGCACGAAACUUGACAGGCGGUCUACCGGUGCUAUACCAAGGCCACUUGGCAAACCUCGGUCCAUUCCGAGAAUGUUUAACACCCGCUCACAACAAGAGACAAAAAGGGGACGCCGGAGGACAUAGGAGUGUCGGAUUGCAAAACGAACAACGGGGAAAAUGCUCAAAUGCAUGAGACGAACACGUAUGCAAUGCAAUGCACAUGAUGACAUGAUAAAAUGCAACACGCAAGCACAUGACAUGGCAACAACAACGAAUAACUGGCAGACACCUGGCACAUCGAAUCCGGGGCGUUACAACACUCCUCCACUAACAAGAGAUCUCGUCCCGAGAUCUUAGGAACGAGACGGAAGAGAAAGAGGAAGAGGUGAAGCAAGAACUGAACAGAGAGGGUGAACAAAGUCGAGAGCACUCGCGUAGAAAAGAUGAGCGGUGAAUAUGACGAGAAUCAAAUGCUCAAGAAACAAAAUAGACUCUGAAAACACUCCGGUUAAAACGAGAUAAGAAACGAAUAAGACUGAAAAGGAUUUAGCAGAACUCUGACUGAACAUGGAAAGAAUAGAACAUGAACUUGAGAGGAUGGAAUGAUACUUGAUGAACUCUUGAAGAAUGAAAUAAAUCAUGAAGAACCACCAUGAAGAACUCCGGUGACAAAAGGAUGAUGAGAUAGACAUGAAGGAUGAAAGAAUAAGAUGAUCCUUGCGGUGACUUAGAUGGAGGUUCCGACGAAAUGACCGAGGAAAUUGAACUCCGGAAAAGAAAAGAUGAAAACACUUGGAACUAGAAUUUAUUCACCAAGAACAAACUCCGAAGAAAAGGAUUAAUCACUUGGAUGAAAUAAGAAUAAGAUUUAUUGUAUGCUUAUCCUUCAUCAAAUUUAAUUGAUGACAAGCCACGGAUUUGGCAUGCAACUUAUUCUUGUUGAAAAGAAUUGAGAAAUGAUGCAUCGCAAACUUGAGAAGGUCUUCAUGAACCACCGGUAGGAUUUGGAAGAACGAAUGAAUUAAAAUGAUAAUCAAGGAAAAGAAUCUUGAACGAACCACCGUAAGAAUUCGAAAAUGACUGAUGAAAGAGAAUGAAUCACCGGGAAGAAUUAUAAGAACAACUAUGCUAGAUGGAAUUUAAAUACAAGGGAAGGGGAAGAACUCGAGCUGAUUAAAGAAUAUUUGAAGGAAGCACCGGGAUAAAUAGAGAACGAUAGCUGAAAUGUGGGGAUGAAGAAUUCUUCUGGAACGAUGGCCUCCGGUGAAAAGAAAUGGAAAAAACAACUCAUGACAUAGUCCGGAUGGGUAAGAAAGAAUAUCCGGCCAAUGGAAUAAUUCGAGAGGGUAAUAAGAAGCUAGAACCACGAAUCUUCGGGAGAACGGGCAAGAUUGAGAGGAAAAACUCUUCUUCGGUCUUCAAAAGACGACGAGAAACACCACCAAAAUUACUGAGGUACUCCGGUUGAAUGAAAAACGAAGAGGUUGAGGCAACAAUGAAAAUUAUUUGAAAUCGAUCUCAAAGAAGGCAUGUGGCUGAUGGAAUCCAUUCUUACGCCACACUUUGAAAAUAAUUGAGAAUAACUCCAGGGAAUUAGAAGAGUCAGGUAAGAUCCUGGGAAAGGACCUGUGGGUUAGGGCCCACUGAAGAGAAAAACACCGUUGGAAAGGAUUGAUGAAAAGAUAGAUGAUUCACCGGAACAAUUGAAAUAUUUGAAUGAGGUAACAACCUCGAAUUAAUUGGAACACAGAUGAAUCUCCUGAGAUGUCUUGAGCACUCCGGAAGGAUAAACUGGCGAGAGGCGAGUGAGCAGGGAAAACACUUGAUCCAAGGAAAGGAAUGUGAUCAACCCGAAAAACUUGAAUUGAGUGCACCAGAAAAGAGAUGAAGACUGCCAAACAAAAGAGAAUUCACCGGUUGAAACAAUUGAUGGAAGACUGAAGAGGCUCCGCACGAAUGAAAUUGAUACUCGAAAUAGACUCGGGCUUCGGGAAGAAGAGGGUGGGAGGGCAGGAAAAAACAAAGGCAACUUUAAAGGGGGAACCGACGAAUAACUUGAAGAAAAAAACACCAGUUGAAAUAAUUGAGGAGAGAGAGCAAAAACUUCGCACGAGUAGGAUGGAUACUCGAUUACGGACUCCGGAUCCAAGAAGAAAAAGGGGGGGUGGGAAAAGAAAACAACUUAGGAUUGAACUCAAAGAUGAAGAGGCUCGAGUCGACUUGACGAGAAAUGCACCGGAUGCAAAGAGAGGAGAACCAACGACCGAAAAAACAUAUGCGUGGUCCUAAAGAAAACUUUGAAGGGGAAGAGGAGUAAUUCAAAACACCUACAUCAAGAUUCCUGACCAGAGCGACGAAGGGGGCUGAGGAGUAAAAAGAAGUCCUACUCUCCGAUAUAACUAGACUCCGAAAAGUUUUCUUCUAGACUCAACAAAGGCCAAACUACACGAUCAAUCAAGGGGGCUCCUAAGGUCAGUCGAGGCUCUGAUACCAACUUGUCACGCCCAAUAUGUGAUACUAUCCUAAAGAGACUCGAAGGUCCCACCAAGGAUAGAAUCGCAUAUUGAAAUGCUUUUGCAAGGUGGAUAUCGUUACCUCAAAAUUACAUAAUAGAUGGGGAUACAUACAAAAGGCAUACAAUGCCACACGAAUACAACAUCAGCUUACAUAGGAACACCAUCCGACUACGGAUGAAACACAAAUAGAAACUCAAACGACAUCCACCCUGCUAGCCCAGGAUGCCGACCUGGAACAUAUCCCCUGAUGGAAGAAGAAGUAGAAGAAGAACUCCAAAACAAUCAAACAUCGCUCUCGCGUCAUGAUCAUCGCAAAACCUAUACCUGCAACUGUUAUUGUAGUAAUCUGUGAGCCACGAGGACUCAGCAAUCCCAUUACCAUGGGUGUCAAGACUAGCAAAGCUUAAAGGGAAAGGAAGGGGUAAAGUGGUGAGGUUGCAGCAGCGACUAAGCAUAUAUGGUGGCUAACAUACGCAAAUAAGAGUGAGAAGAGAAGCAACGGAACGGUCAUGAAGCUAGCAAUGAUCAAGAAGUGAUCCUGAACUCCUACUUACGUCAAACAUAACCCAAAACUGUGUUCACUUCCCAGACUCCGCCGAAAAGAGACCAUCACGGCUACACACGCGGUUGAUGCGUUUUAAUUCGGAUCUGGUGUCAAGUUAUCUACAACCGGACAUUAACAAAUUCCCAUCUGCCACAUAACUGCGGGCACGGCUUUCGAAAGUUUAUACCCUGCAGGGGUGUCCCAACUUAGCCCAUCACAAGAUCUCACGGUCAACGAAGGAUAUACCUUCUCCCAGGAAGACCCGAUCUGACUUGGAAUCCCGGUUUACAAGACAUUUCAACAAUGGUAAAACAAGGCCAGCAAAACCUCCCGUUGUGCCGACAAAUCCCGAUAGGAGCUGCACAUAUCUCGUUCUCAGGGCACAUCGGAUGAACCAGACGUCGGGUUGGCAUAGACCCUGGUUGCCCAGGGAGCGCCGGACAUCGCUCAGUUUGGACCAGCACUUGGAGAAGCACUGCCCCAGGGGGGCUAAAAUAAAGAUGACCCUCGGGCUCCGGAAACCCAAGGGAAAAAGGGCUAGGUGAGGCAAAUGGUAAAACCAAGGUUGGGCCAUGCUGGAGGAGUAUUAUUCAAAGCGACCUGUCAAGGGGGUCCCAUAAAUCACCCAACCGCGUAAGGAACGCAAAAUUCGAGAACAUAACACUGGUAUGAAGGAAACUAGGGCGGCAAGAGUGGAACAAAACACCAGGCAUAAGGCCGAGUCUUCCACCAUUUACCAAGUAUAUAGAUGCAUUAAUUAAAAUAAGAGGUAUUGUGAUAUCCCAACAUAAUCCUGUCCACCAUGGAGCAAUCUUCAACUUCACCUGCAACUAGCAACACUAUAAGAGGGGUUGAGCAAAGCGGUAACAUAGCCAAGCAACGGUUUUCUAGGAAGGGUGGAAAUGUUAGAGGCUGACAUGGCAAUUUGGGAGGCUUGAAGAGCAAUUGGUAGGUAGCGCAGCAAAGUGAUAGAAUGAAGCAACUAGCAUAGCAAUGAUAGUAGUGAGAUCCAGGGUAGCGGUCAUCUUGGCUGAAAUCCCACAAGGAAGAAGAACGAGUCCAAGAAGAAGAUGAAGCCACGAAGACAAACCAAGCAUAGACGAACGAAUCCUCACGAUCGCAAUGAAACAGGAACUAUCGAGAAGAAGCACACAACAUAGUAAACACAUCACACAUGAACAAGGCAUGAUGCUCAACCAAGUAUGAUGCAUGACAAGGCUACAUGAAGCUACUCAUGGCAAGAGAUGAUGCAAACACGAGCAACACAUCAAGGCAAGUUUAAAUGAGGCCGGGAACAACAUAUAACAAUUCCGGUAAGUCCUCAUAUGCAAAUUUCGAAAUAGGUCCAGAUCUGAAUAAACCUUAUGUUCAAGUUGCUAAAUAGCAAGUUAAGAUACACCAAGUUGAUCUACAUGAGAUUCUAGUCAAGUUACAUAUAAAGUUCAUUUAGUUCGGAGCUACGGCCUAGAAGAUAUGAGCAAAACAAGUUAAACAUGACAUUGAUGCAAAAUGCAUACAAACAUCUAGCAAACACCUCAAAACAAGGAUGCAACAUGUUAAUAUGAAACUACAUGCAAUUCUAAGCAAGUUUCAUAUAGAGCACACUCAAAACAGAGCAACGGUGCAACACAUACACUCCAAACAAGACAUAACAACAAUCUGUCCAAAACAGUAACUAGGCAUCUAGCAAGCAUCAAAAAAAUAUGCUACAGCACCCCAACAUAAGAACAAAAGGCAUGGGCAUGAUGUACAGGUAAAGCAUGACAAAAUAUGAACACUGAACUAUCUCCAGAAAACACUAGAACAUGCUCAAAAAGACAUGGCAACAUUGCAAGUAAUAACAGUUUACAGGCUUAGCAGAAAUAACAUCAGGUUGCAAUGUUUAGAGCUAUCAAACAACAUGUUACAGGAACAUAUCAUAGAAACUUAAGGCAUGGCAUGAUACUACUGAAUGCAUAGAACAAAAGUCCUUUACUUACCAUGAGCCAAAAGGGCACAGAAAAUAUGAUGGCACCCAUAUAAACAUGGCAAGUUAUAUGACAGAUUCAAACAUGGCAGGAACAACGAUAAGUAGGCAUGUUGGUGAGCUUGUACCACUCACCACAGAGCAUUACAUGGCAUGACAAGGCAACCAACAGUAAGAAUACAUGUUUAUGAAGCUAAGCAUGGCAAGAUAAAGUUCAUAGGGUGCAUGGAUCACUCACAAAACACAUGGCAAAACUGCACUCAAUGUUAACAGGCUGACAGCAACAUUAUUUAGCAAUUUGAGAGCAAGAUUACAACAAGCUACAGCAAGCUAUAUAUGCAACCAGGGGCAUGGAUGGAUAGGGCAUGACAUGUAGAACAAAACAUCCUUAGUGAACAUCUACAGAUUAUGCAUAGAAUGACUUGUAGCAGCAGGUUUACAUAGCAUCACGAAAUAACAGAUUCAGCCUAGCAAAACAGCAACAACAAGUACUCUAUUUCACGAGCUCGAUGCACUCGCUACAAGAUUCACAAAAAUACAUGUAUUGCACCUCUGUAAAGAUGGCAUGAUAUAGAUCAAAACACAUGUAGAGCUCAUGCUCAUAGGAUGCACACAUCAAAUGCAACAAACAUGACAAAUCGCCAAGUUAUAACAGUUUCAGCAGAUUAACAUCAUAUAACACUCUUGCAACGAUGAUUCAGGCAUCAAGAUGAACUCAAAUAAACAUGGCACAUUUUGAUAUAUUAUACAUGCAAAACGGAGCAGUAUACAACAAGUUAUGGCAUAUCAAAGUAUGCACCAGAAUGCAAACUAAUUCGGGACUUAGAGAAAAACUGGGGUCAACCUUAGGUCUGCACGGAUUUCAAGGCGAGGCGGAUCUCGUUGGAGAGCUCACCGGAGAAGAGGAGGGAGAUGGGGCCGCCGGGGUCUUGCAGGGGCGGGACGAAGCGGAUCCGGCCGAGCUCCGGCGAAGGCGACGCGUGGCCGGGCGCGGGCGNNNNNNNNNNNNNNNNNNNNNNNNNNNNNNNNNNNNNNNNNNNNNNNNNNNNNNNNNNNNNNNNNNNNNNNNNNNNNNNNNNNNNNNNNNNNNNNNNNNNNNNNNNNNNNNNNNNNNNNNNNNNNNNNNNNNNNNNNNNNNNNNNNNNNNNNNNNNNNNNNNNNNNNNNNNNNNNNNNNNNNNNNNNNNNNNNNNNNNNNNNNNNNNNNNNNNNNNNNNNNNNNNNNNNNNNNNNNNNNNNNNNNNNNNNNNNNNNNNNNNNNNNNNNNNNNNNNNNNNNNNNNNNNNNNNNNNNNNNNNNNNNNNNNNNNNNNNNNNNNNNNNNNNNNNNNNNNNNNNNNNNNNNNNNNNNNNNNNNNNNNNNNNNNNNNNNNNNNNNNNNNNNNNNNNNNNNNNNNNNNNNNNNNNNNNNNNNNNNNNNNNNNNNNNNNNNNNNNNNNNNNNNNNNNNNNNNNNNNNNNNNNNNNNNNNNNNNNNNNNNNNNNNNNNNNNNNNNNNNNNNNNNNNNNNNNNNCAGGCGGCCAGCGGCGAGGCGCACGAGGAGGCGGGCGGAUGGGCCAGGCGGCGGCGGCGCGAGGGCCCGCCCGGGCCCACGAUGGGCUCCGCGGGCCGCACGGUGGCGGGAGGCGACGGUGACAGGUGUCCGGCCCUGAUUGGUGCGGGGAGGCUGCGCUGCUGAGGUGGCGCUCUCCUAUUGGCCGGAGCGAUGUGGAGGCGGCGGUGGAUGUGUCCGGCCGCCGGGCGGACAUGUCCUGCGGCGCGAGGAGGGAGAGGGCUAGGGUUCAUCUGCGCGAAAAAAUCGGAGGGGAUCACAUAUUUAUAGGUAGAGAGAGCUAGGAGACUCCAAAUGAGGUGCGGUUUUCGGCCACGCGAUCGUGAUCGAACGGCGGAGAUUAUGGAGGGGGUUACGAUGGGUUUUGGGCCAGUUUGGAGGGGGUGUUGGGCUGCAACACAAAGAGAGCUUUACGGUUCCCCGGUUAACCGUUGGAGUAUCAAACGGAUUCCAAAUGGCACGAAACUUGAUAGGCGGUCUACCGGUGCUAUACCAAGGCCGCUUGGCAAACCUCGGUCCAUUCCGAGAAUAUUUAACACCCGCUCACAACAAGAGACAAAAAGGGAACGCCGGAGGACAUAGGAGUGUUGGAUUACAAAACGGACAACGGGGAAAAUGCUCGGAUGCAUGAGAUGAACACGUAUGAAAUGCAAUGCACGUGAUGACAUGAUAAAAUGCAACACGCAAGCACAUGACAUGGCAACAAUGACGAAUAACUGGCAGAUACCUGGCGCAUCGAAUCCGGGGCGUUACAUGCCCUCAACCAUUCACCCUACUCGGGUGAGGAAUCAACUUGUGGUUCAAAUGAUCCGCCAACAUGUGCUAGUCUGUCGUAGUCAAUCCAAAAGAGAGGUAUCUUCUCAAAUUGAAAAUCAAACAAGGUCCCCUCAUCUUUUGCUGGAGAGUGAUGAAAGAAGCCUCGGACUAGUGAAACAAAUAUGAAAAUUCUAGCUCUAAAUCUGAGAUGGUUCCCUCAUAAAUCCAUCCUUCUUAACAUCGCUCUUUACCACGCCACCAAUUCAAUUCCCAAGAGAAUUCCCAAAAGUAUAUGAUCACUUAUAUAUGGAAGGAUCUGUAAUUAUCACCCAUGGCUCCAACAUACAAAACAUUAUCUUCGAUGACCUAGUUUUUUCAUCAUAAUCCUUCAAAACUAUCACAUUGAAACCAAAUUGCCACAUUAAAUUAUAUAGAGCGUGCUUCUAGACUCCUUUGUUCUUGAAUCUCAAGAAGAAGAUAUUAUUUCUAAUGUGACUUAUUUGGGCUUCCUAGUAGAGUCCCAUGUGUGUUGCAUAGCCCUAGCAAACACGUUGAUGUUGAUUUGUUGGAGUGAGCAUGCCUUUCCAACCACUGACCACCGAGUAGGCCUCGGUCGGUCUGGUAUCCUGAUCCUCAAACAUGAGAUCUAUUAGUUCCUUUUUUCCCAAGUUUAGGGCUCCUUGUUAAUUUGAUUGAGCGAUUAGCUGCCUCCCCUGAAGCAUUUCCGUCUGUCAGGGACUUUGAAGGUUCUCGUAUUAACGGUCCUUGGUUGCCCUGUUCACUUGAGCUGUCGAUUUAUGCCACGCCUUCUCUCCCAUCGUCACGCAAAGGAGUGGAAGCACCAAGACCAAUCAAUGUAGGAGUUUACAGCGUCAUCGCCCCAUAGAUAAAUAAAACUCUAACCCUAUAGUCGCCCUUAGCAUUUCUUUUCAUGCUGGGCCCGCCGCUAUGUAUUUAUACGUGUCCUUCCAUUGGUACUUUUUUUUGCUCUGGAGCCUUUCUGCUACAUUUGUCUUUCUACAAAGGUGGUCUUAUCCAAAUCAUAUAGUCUCCUCUAUCUAUAUUAAGCCAGGACAUUAGUUCUUCUUUUUUUCAAGGCAAAUACACUUGCUAGUGUUCAAGCGACAUCGAAAGAAGUCUUGUCACAUGUGUAGACGACGCUAAGAGUGUGACACAUAUAGGUGCCAACUUUAUGGAUAAUGCAAAUUUCAGCAAAUAUGAAUAGCUCCCGGGGGAACGAGCGCACAAAGGAAUCAGCCACCAUAAAUCGAUCAUUUCCAAUGAAACAGAGUCACAAAGAGAGAGACAAGACAUUAGCUUCUUUAUGGGGAACACAUACAUUUAAAUGUUGCCUUGCUAUCUGAUUAUUAACAAGAAAUAAUUUUUACUAAUAUAUUAUGUGUAAAUCUUGAUAGAUAUGGAAUGUAUUUUGGUCAGUAUGUUUUAAGGAAUCAUGUCAGUUUUUGGUAUGUUGAAAUUAGAAGAAGUUCAUGUGCCUUCAAGGCAUGUCAAGGUGUGUUGUUCCACCUCAAAUUGGGACAUACUAAAUGGUUAUUCUCCCUACAUAUAGCCCCAAUUCUCAUGCUCUUGCUCUCUCUCUCUCUCUCUCUCCAUUUUAUAUUCCAGACUACUCCAUAAAGCCUAACCGGUGAAGGUCCAGAAACACCCAGCAGUGACGGGUUCAACUCCCAUUAGUAGUCUAUACUUAGUGGAGGAGAAACAAGCCACUUACAGGCACAUGCCCGCCAAUGGUGAAUAAAUUAGAAAAGAAAAUCAGGCCAUGGCCGGUCCAUAUCCGGCAGCUGCCAACAAUGUGUAGUCUCCACUACUCUAACCUAAUUUUCCUCAAUGUGUUACAUCAUGUGAUGUUUGGAGAAGCCAUAGAGUCGGGGACCUGAAUAUAGAAAACAACGAUGGGGAGUGGCUUGAAGAAUAGGAGCCAAGAAGCCGGAAGGAGAAGGCCUCCACCAUGUUGCACCAUUGGCCGAUACUGACCCGUAUGGUGCAAGGACCAAGGUAGAACUAAACACCUUCAUCAUCUGGGUCGCAAAGGAAGUUGGACUAGUGUGUUGCUCCUCUCGGACAAACUCAAUGAUUUCAUGCAGUUGGCACCCAUGCAACAUUCCACAGAGAUAACAACACUGAGGACGAGGAGGGGCAACGCAAGGUUUCUUCCUCAUAGGAAUUACUUUCGAGGAUGUGGGGGGAGGGUAUGGCAUGAUGAGCAGUUAACAAGGGAAGUUUGCAUGACUGUGGAGGAGAAAUCAUGAAGACAAGUGUGCUAGUAGCUAGACAAGGGAUGAAUGAUAGCAGGAAGGAAUAAUGAGCUUACUGGGUGAGGCUACUAUUUUUUUAGUUGCGACCUACUGAUCAUAACAACAAUUGAUCGUAACAAUGUAGCAUUGAUGAUACAGGGUAUUGAUUUAGUAACUGUCAGGAUGUGACUAGGGCUUGUAAGUGGUGGGUUGUAUAUUACUAACAAGUAGCAUGUUUAGCCUCCAUCUUGUCCUCUGUCACUCGUAACAACAUACCAUUGAUGGACUACAUAUUGGGCCCGUCACUACUAUCUUUUUCCAACAAAAAUAGAAUUUUAGUUAUAGUCAGAUUCACAACAAUCCCGCCAGCCAUUAGUGCUAGGUAGCACUGUUGACCAGUUUUGUGAGCCACCACUUUUGAUCGAUAACGAGGCGAGAACUCUAGUGUAGUGCACAUUUGUUUUGUUGCGAACUUUUAGUGUUUUUAUGUGCACAAAGACAUAUCUUUCAACCCUAACAGGUGUUCUCUUUAGGUGGGGUCGAGAGUGAAGGACUGGGGAGCUUGGAAGCAGGGGAAAUGGCACCUAGAGGGGUUCAGAUCUCCAUGAUCAAUAACCACAAUUUUGAUCUGAAUGAGCUGUCGACUGAGCAUGAGUAGCUCAAGAAGGAGUAGUCACCCAUGGAGAAAGAGUAGCCGCCUAUGGCACAACAUGAGCUUUAAUAUUCACAAUGGUUGGAGGCUACUCAAAUCCGCUUGUGUGAGCAAAAGUAACUCUUGGGAAAAAGUGUAGCCUUGUCAGAAAUUAUCAAAACAAUAUCCUUAUCCUGAGGACGGUUGUAAAGCUUAUGUGGAACUUUUGAAUUUCUUGCUUCCUAUUUUUUGGUGAUUGACUUACGCUAUUGCUAAACUUGAGGGAAGGAGUUGGUAUACUGCCUCAUGAUCAACGUGUCAACUGGAAAUGGAUUUUCUAUUCGUUUCCUGUGAUGGUUUUGAUAUGUGGAUUUUUUGAACAAGUAGUUGUUCAUUCGGUAAAGCUUUGUGAAACAUCAACGGUGGAGCUAGGUAUCAGGUCAUGUGAAAAGACAGUAGGUCAAGAAGUGUG